UGACCGCUGGCGGCGUGCCUAAUACAUGCAAGUCGAGCGAACAGACGAGGAGCUUGCUCCUCUGACGUUAGCGGCGGACGGGUGAGUAACACGUGGAUAACCUACCUAUAAGACUGGGAUAACUUCGGGAAACCGGAGCUAAUACCGGAUAAUAUAUUGAACCGCAUGGUUCUAUAGUGAAAGACGGUUUUGCUGUCACUUAUAGAUGGAUCCGCGCCGCAUUAGCUAGUUGGUAAGGUAACGGCUUACCAAGGCAACGAUGCGUAGCCGACCUGAGAGGGUGAUCGGCCACACUGGAACUGAGACACGGUCCAGACUCCUACGGGAGGCAGCAGUAGGGAAUCUUCCGCAAUGGGCGAAAGCCUGACGGAGCAACGCCGCGUGAGUGAUGAAGGUCUUCGGAUCGUAAAACUCUGUUAUUAGGGAAGAACAAAUGUGUAAGUAACUAUGCACGUCUUGACGGUACCUAAUCAGAAAGCCACGGCUAACUACGUG
Molecule: ribosomal RNA, 495 nt
Filed under: uncultured bacterium
Lineage: Bacteria
Description: partial 16S ribosomal RNA
Rfam family: Bacterial small subunit ribosomal RNA
Source: RNAcentral